UUAGUUGUUUGUUUACCUUCACUGUACAGCGCCGCGCCAAUCCACUGUGACUGGCUUGCUGCAGAGCGUGAGCGUCUUGGGAAUACCCGGUCAAUAUAAUGGAUAUAAUAUGGACACAUAAGACAAUCAAUAUUCUGUAUUUGUUAUGGAUUUAUUGUAAAAAUUCCCUGAAAAGAUGCACGUUGCAGGAUGAAUUGAAAAGCUCCCGUAAGGGCUGAGAUGGCAGAGGACAGCUGAUUUGGAACGGAACAACAGCUGUACGAGAGAGACAAAGGAGUGAGGCUGCUGGUUCACACUGUUGCACAUUUGUUUUGUUUGCUUGGAAGAUCGGAAAAUAAACCUGCAGAAAUCUAAA
Gadus macrocephalus (Pacific cod) is the source of this 355-nucleotide long non-coding RNA. RefSeq lists it as uncharacterized. The record is from RefSeq and is a predicted model, not a curated record. NCBI's taxonomy places the organism in Eukaryota, Metazoa, Chordata, Actinopteri, Gadiformes, Gadidae. The transcript has 2 exons.